Molecule: ribosomal RNA, 447 nt
Filed under: uncultured bacterium
Lineage: Bacteria
Description: bacterial SSU rRNA
Rfam family: Bacterial small subunit ribosomal RNA
Source: RNAcentral
GAUGAACGCUGGCGGCGUGCUUAACACAUGCAAGUCGAACGAAGCACUUUGGACAGAUUCUUUGGAUGAAAUUCUUAGUGACUGAGUGGCGGACGGGUGAGUAACGCGUGGGUAACCUGCCUCAUACAGGGGGAUAACAGUUAGAAAUGGCUGCUAAUACCGCAUAAGCGCACGGUACUGCAUGGUACAGUGUGAAAAACUCCGGUGGUAUGAGAUGGACCCGCGUUGGAUUAGCUAGUUGGCAGGGUAACGGCCUACCAAGGCGACGAUCCAUAGCCGGCCUGAGAGGGUGGACGGCCACAUUGGGACUGAGACACGGCCCAGACUCCUACGGGAGGCAGCAGUGGGGAAUAUUGCACAAUGGGGGAAACCCUGAUGCAGCGACGCCGCGUGAGCGAAGAAGUAUUUCGGUAUGUAAAGCUCUAUCAGCAGGGAAGAAAAUGACGG